Molecule: unclassified non-coding RNA, 379 nt
Filed under: uncultured Gammaproteobacteria bacterium
Lineage: Bacteria; Pseudomonadati; Pseudomonadota; Gammaproteobacteria
Description: contains 16S-23S intergenic spacer region
Source: RNAcentral
UCCGGUUUGUCACCGGCAGUCUCAUUAAAGUGCCCAACUGAAUGGUGGCAAUUAAUGACAAGGGUUGCGCUCGUUGCGGGACUUAACCCAACAUCUCACGACACGAGCUGACGACAGCCAUGCAGCACCUGUGUUCAGGCUCUCUUUCGAGCACUCCCCUAUCUCUAGAGGAUUCCUGACAUGUCAAGGGUAGGUAAGGUUUUUCGCGUUGCAUCGAAUUAAUCCACAUCAUCCACCGCUUGUGCGGGUCCCCGUCAAUUCCUUUGAGUUUUAAUCUUGCGACCGUACUCCCCAGGCGGCGAACUUCACGCGUUAGCUGCGGUACUAAGGAAGUCUCCUUCCCCAACACCUAGUUCGCAUCGUUUAGGGCGUGGACUAC